UCCGAGUUGACCCCGGCAGUCUCCUGCGAGUCCCCGCCAUUACGUGCUGGCAACAUGGGACAGGGGUUGCGCUCGUUACGGGACUUAACCCAACAUUUCACAACACGAGCUGACGACAGCCAUGCAGCACCUGUCACUCGGCUCCCGAAGGCACUCCGCCAUCUCUGGCAGAUUCCGAGGAUGUCAAGGGUAGGUAAGGUUCUUCGCGUUGCAUCGAAUUAAACCACAUGCUCCACCGCUUGUGCGGGCCCCCGUCAAUUCAUUUGAGUUUUAACCUUGCGGCCGUACUCUCCGGGCGGUCUACUUAGUGCGUUAGCUGCGCCACCAAAACCUCAAGGGUCCCGACGGCUAGUAGACAUCGUUUACAGCGUGGACUAC
Molecule: unclassified non-coding RNA, 378 nt
Filed under: uncultured Gammaproteobacteria bacterium
Lineage: Bacteria; Pseudomonadati; Pseudomonadota; Gammaproteobacteria
Description: contains 16S-23S intergenic spacer region
Source: RNAcentral